UGAGUCAGUGGAGGCGGUGGUGCGACGGAGACGACGGCGGAGAGACGAAUUCCAGAGGGGAAGAAGGGAGGUAGAAACCCUAGGAAUUAGAUUUUAUGAUUUGGGGAUUUAGAUAUAGGGAAGAAAUGGAAGGGAAGGAAGGGGGAAGAGAAGGGGCCGGCCUCGCCGCGCCGGAGGCGGCGAGAACCAGCGACGACCGCCGGAGAAGGAGGGAGAGAGAGAGAGGCGAUAGGGAGGAGCGAUAGAGAGAGAGAACAGAGAGAGAAAGAAAGAGUAUGCGUGUGAGAGGAAGGGGAAGAAUUAUUAAUCUGAUUCUUAUUUUGGUGUUAUAAAAUCUGAAUUAUUAAUUUAUUAAAUCUGAAUUAUUAAUUGGGCUUGAACUAUAUUUGGACCAGCUAAUUCUGAUGGACCUGAUAGUUUAUUUAAUGGGCUUAAUUUGAAUUAAAUUAAUGUUGGGCUUUGAGUUAAUUAACCUAAUAAUUAGAUUGAUUUUCACAUAUUAUAUAUAUGUAUAUAUUAUAGGCAGUAUGGUUUAUGAU
This 539-nucleotide long non-coding RNA is filed under the name Salvia miltiorrhiza (redroot sage). Its description in RNAcentral is "long non-coding RNA (SMIL_LNC011634)". The record is from RNAcentral. Lineage: Eukaryota; Viridiplantae; Streptophyta; Magnoliopsida; Lamiales; Lamiaceae.